CAGAGAUUGUUAAGCUGCCGCAGCUGCCCCACUUCUGACCCAGCUCCCUGUUAAUGGCCUGGGAAAGCAGUGAAGGAUGGCUCAAGUGUUUGGGCCACUGCUCUGGACUUUUUUGGACCCACUGUGCUUGAAACAUCGGCAGACACCCGAGGGUUAAAACGGCGGCACAGGUGCGAGACAGCCUGAGACAGAUCUACAACCGAAAGGAUUCGAAAUGACGCGGGGCGGGGAAGAUGACGACGGUCAGCCUGUGUCAUCCUCAGAGAAGGUGCUGGGUCCGUGGAACAAGUGCUGGAAUGACAGCAAAACCGGAAGCCUCACCCACAGGUCCGCAGAGGAAGCCUCAAGCACAGACUGCGUGUCUCCGACCGGCUGCCACACUGGACAGAUGGCACAGGAGGCUGACAGAGGCCAAGUGGCAGCGCGCCUCCAGAUUAUCAGGACAGAGGGAAAGAACCUCCUACGGAAGUGCACGGAACUCAAGAACCCGGGACAGCUGGGGGAGGCGGGCACAAACCAAGGAGAGGCAGGUGUCUUUAAACAGGAACAUUUACAGAAAUUGA
Long non-coding RNA from Ochotona princeps (American pika), 563 nucleotides. RefSeq lists it as uncharacterized. NCBI's taxonomy places the organism in Eukaryota, Metazoa, Chordata, Mammalia, Lagomorpha, Ochotonidae. The transcript has 2 exons. The record is from RefSeq and is a predicted model, not a curated record.